RNAcentral lists this ribosomal RNA (491 nucleotides) under uncultured bacterium. RNAcentral's name for it is "partial 16S ribosomal RNA". It matches the Rfam family "Bacterial small subunit ribosomal RNA", at positions 29 to 507 of the family's 1533-position model. The record is from RNAcentral.
AGUGAACGCUGGCGGUAGGCCUAACACAUGCAAGUCGAACGGCAGCACAGUAAGAGCUUGCUCUUACGGGUGGCGAGUGGCGGACGGGUGAGGAAUACAUCGGAAUCUACUUUUUCGUGGGGGAUAACGUAGGGAAACUUACGCUAAUACCGCAUACGACCUACGGGUGAAAGCAGGGGAUCUUCGGACCUUGCGCGAUUGAAUGAGCCGAUGUCGGAUUAGCUAGUUGGCGGGGUAAAGGCCCACCAAGGCGACGAUCCGUAGCUGGUCUGAGGGGAUGAUCAGCCCAACGGGACCGAGGCCAGGUCCCAACUCCUACGGGGGGGAAGAGGGGGGAAUUUUGGGCAAUGGGGGGAAGCCCGAACCCACCCAGCCCGGGGGGGGAAAAAGGGCUUUGGGGUGUAAAACCCUUUUUUUUGGGAAAAAAAAGCAGGAGGUUAACUCCCCGCUUUUUGGGGGUAACCAAAAAAAAAACCACGGCUAACUUCGGG